GAUGAACGCUGGCGGCGUGCCUAAUACAUGCAAGUCGAGCGAACAGACGAGGAGCUUGCUCCUCUUACGUUAGCGGCGGACGGGUGAGUAACACGUGGAUAACCUACCUAUAAGACUGGGAUACCUUCGGGAAACCGGAUCUAAUACCGGAUAAUAUAUUGAACCGCAUGGUUCAAUAGUGAAAGCCGGUUUUGCUGUCACUUAUAGAUGGAUCCGCGCCGCAUUAGCUAGUUGGUAAGGUAACGGCUUACCAAGGCAACGAUGCGUAGCCGACCUGAGAGGGUGAUCGGCCACACUGGAACUGAGACACGGUCCAGACUCCUACGGGAGGCAGCAGUAGGGAAUCUUCCGCAAUGGGCGAAAGCCUGACGGAGCAACGCCGCGUGAGUGAUGAAGGUCUUCGGAUCGUAAAACUCUGUUAGUAGGGAAGAACAAAUGUGUAAGUAACUAUGCACGUCUUGACGGUACCUAAUCAGAAAGCCACGGCUAACUACGUG
RNAcentral lists this ribosomal RNA (497 nucleotides) under uncultured bacterium. RNAcentral describes it as "partial 16S ribosomal RNA". It matches the Rfam family "Bacterial small subunit ribosomal RNA", at positions 28 to 507 of the family's 1533-position model. The record is from RNAcentral.